This 496-nucleotide ribosomal RNA is filed under the name uncultured bacterium. RNAcentral describes it as "partial 16S ribosomal RNA". It matches the Rfam family "Bacterial small subunit ribosomal RNA", at positions 28 to 506 of the family's 1533-position model. The record is from RNAcentral.
GAUGAACGCUGGCGGCGUGCCUAAUACAUGCGAGUCGAGCGAACGGACGAGAAGCUUGCUUCUCUGAUGUUAGCGGCGGACGGGUGAGUAACACGUGGAUAACCUACCUAUAAGACUGGGAUAACUUCGGGAAACCGGAGCUAAUACCGGAUGAUAUUUUGAACCGCAUGGUUCAAAAGUGAAAGACGGUCUUGCUGUCACUUAUAGAUGGAUCCGCGCUGCAUUAGCUAGUUGGUAAGGUAACGGCUUACCAAGGCAACGAUGCAUAGCCGACCUGAGAGGGGGAUCGGCCACACUGGAACUGAGACACGGUCCAGACUCCUACGGGAGGAAGCAGUAGGGAAUCUUCCGCAAUGGGCGAAAGCCUGACGGAGCAACGCCGCGGGAGUGAUGAAGGUCUUCGGAUCGUAAAACUCUGUUAUUAGGGAAGAACAUAUGUGUAAGUAACUGUGCACAUCUUGACGGUACCUAAUCAGAAAGCCACGGCUAACUACGU